This 625-nucleotide ribosomal RNA is filed under the name uncultured bacterium. RNAcentral's name for it is "bacterial SSU rRNA". It matches the Rfam family "Bacterial small subunit ribosomal RNA", at positions 103 to 707 of the family's 1533-position model. The record is from RNAcentral.
CGGGUGAGUAACGCGUGGGUGACCUGCCUUCCAGCGGGGGAUAACGUUCCGAAGGGGACGCUAAUACCGCGUAACAUCCUGCCUUUGAAUACGUGGAGAUCAAAGCUGGGGAUCGCAAGACCUAGCACUCGUGAGGGGCCCGCGUCCGAUUAGCUAGUUGGUGAGGUAACGGCUCACCAAGGCGACGAUCGGUAGCCGGCCUGAGAGGGCGGACGGCCACACUGGGACUGAUACACGGCCCAGACUCCUACGGGAGGCAGCAGUGGGGAAUUGUUCGCAAUGGGCGCAAGCCUGACGACGCAACGCCGCGUGGAGGAUGAAGAUCUUCGGGUCGUAAACUCCUGUCGAAUGGGACGAACGGACUGUGGGUGAACAAUCCGCAGUCGUGACAGUACCGUUAAAGGAAACCCCGGCUAACUCCGUGCCAUCAGCCGCGGUAAUACUGGGGGGGUAAGCGUUGUUCAGAAUUACUGGGCGUACAGGGCUCGUAAGCGGCCAACUAAGUCGAACAUGAAAUCCCUCGGCUUAACUGGGGAACUGCUUCUGAUACUGGAUGGCUUGAAUUUGGGAGAGGGAUGCGGAAUUCCACUGUGUACCGGUGAAAUGCGUAGAUAUCUGGAGGAAC